UACGUAGGGGGCAAGCGUUGUCCGGAUUUACUGGGCGUAAAGAGCGUGUAGGCGGCCACGCAGGUCCGUUGUGAAAACUGGAGGCUCAACCUCCAGCUGUCGACGGAAACCGUAUGGCUAGAGUCCGGAAGAGGAGAGUGGAAUUCCUGGUGUAGCGGUGAAAUGCGCAGAUAUCAGGAGGAACACCAAUAGCGAAGGCAGCUCGCUGGGACGUUACUGACACUGAGGCGCGAAAGCGUGGGGAGCGAACAGG
RNAcentral lists this ribosomal RNA (253 nucleotides) under uncultured bacterium. Its description in RNAcentral is "partial 16S ribosomal RNA". It matches the Rfam family "Bacterial small subunit ribosomal RNA", at positions 524 to 776 of the family's 1533-position model. The record is from RNAcentral.